RNAcentral lists this ribosomal RNA (504 nucleotides) under uncultured bacterium. Its description in RNAcentral is "bacterial SSU rRNA". It matches the Rfam family "Bacterial small subunit ribosomal RNA", at positions 35 to 507 of the family's 1533-position model. The record is from RNAcentral.
CAAACGGCUGGCGGCGUGCCUAACACAUGCAAGUCGAACGAGAAAGUCGGUUUCGGCCGAUGAGUAAAGUGGCGCACGGGUGAGUAACGCGUGGAUAAUCUACCCUUUAGUCCGGAAUAACUUGCCGAAAGGUGAACUAAUACCGGAUGACAUCCCGGGUUCUCCGGAAACCGGGAUCAAAGAAGGCCUCUGCUUGCAAGCUUUUGCUGAAGGAUGAGUCCGCGUACCAUUAGCUAGUUGGUGGGGUAAUGGCCUACCAAGGUUAUGAUGGUUAGCUGGUCUGAGAGGAUGAUCAGCCACACUGGAACUGAAACACGGUCCAGACUCCUACGGGAGGCAGCAGUGAGGAAUAUUGCGCAAUGGGGGCAACCCUGACGCAGCAACGCCGCGUGAGUGAGGAAGGUUUUCGGAUUGUAAAGCUCUGUCGAGCGGAAAGAAAUGCACGAUGGCUAAUAUCCAUCAUGCUUGACGGUACCGCUAGAGGAAGCACCGGCUAACUCCGUG